This 468-nucleotide ribosomal RNA is filed under the name uncultured bacterium. RNAcentral's name for it is "partial 16S ribosomal RNA". It matches the Rfam family "Bacterial small subunit ribosomal RNA", at positions 28 to 507 of the family's 1533-position model. The record is from RNAcentral.
GACGAACGCUGGCGGCGUGCUUAACACAUGCAAGUCGAACGGAAAGGCCCUGCUUUUGUGGGGUGCUCGAGUGGCGAACGGGUGAGUAACACGUGAGUAACCUGCCCUUGACUUUGGGAUAACUUCAGGAAACUGGGGCUAAUACCGGAUAGGAGCUCCUGCUGCAUGGUGGGGGUUGGAAAGUUUCGGCGGUUGGGGAUGGACUCGCGGCUUAUCAGCUUGUUGGUGGGGUAGUGGCUUACCAAGGCUUUGACGGGUAGCCGGCCUGAGAGGGUGACCGGCCACAUUGGGACUGAGAUACGGCCCAGACCCCUACGGGAGGCAGCAGUGGGGAAUAUUGCACAAUGGGCGGAAGCCUGAUGCAGCAACGCCGCGUGCGGGAUGACGGCCCUCGGGUUGUAAACCGCUUUCGCCUGUGACGAAGCGUGAGUGACGGUAAUGGGUAAAGAAGCACCGGCUAACUACGUG